GACGAACGCUGGCGGCGUGCUUAACACAUGCAAGUCGAACGGAAAGGCCCUGCUUUUGUGGGGUGCUCGAGUGGCGAACGGGUGAGUAACACGUGAGUAACCUGCCCUUGACUUUGGGAUAACUUCAGGAAACUGGUGCUAAUACCGGAUAGGAGCUCCUGCUGCAUGGUGGGGGUUGGAAAGUUUCGGCGGUUGGGGAUGGACUCGCGGCUUAUCAGCUUGUUGGUGGGGUAGUGGCUUACCAAGGCUUUGACGGGUAGCCGGCCUGAGAGGGUGACCGGCCACAUUGGGACUGAGAUACGGCCCAGACUCCUACGGGAGGCAGCAGUGGGGAAUAUUGCACAAUGGGCGGAAGCCUGAUGCAGCAACGCCGCGUGCGGGAUGACGGCCUUCGGGUUGUAAACCGCUUUCGCCUGUGACGAAGCGUGAGUGAUGGUAAUGGGUAAAGAAGCACCGGCUAACUACGUG
RNAcentral lists this ribosomal RNA (468 nucleotides) under uncultured bacterium. RNAcentral describes it as "partial 16S ribosomal RNA". It matches the Rfam family "Bacterial small subunit ribosomal RNA", at positions 28 to 507 of the family's 1533-position model. The record is from RNAcentral.